UACGGAGGGUGCAAGCGUUAUCCGGAUUCACUGGGUUUAAAGGGUGCGUAGGUGGGCUAGUAAGUCAGUGGUGAAAUCUCCGGGCUUAACCCGGAAACUGCCAUUGAUACUAUUAGUCUUGAAUGUUGUGGAGGUAAGCGGAAUAUGUCAUGUAGCGGUGAAAUGCUUAGAUAUGACAUAGAACACCGAUAGCGAAGGCAGCUUACUACAGGAUGAUUGACGCUGAGGCACGAAAGCGUGGGGAGCAAACAGG
Molecule: ribosomal RNA, 253 nt
Filed under: uncultured bacterium
Lineage: Bacteria
Description: partial 16S ribosomal RNA
Rfam family: Bacterial small subunit ribosomal RNA
Source: RNAcentral